Molecule: ribosomal RNA, 253 nt
Filed under: uncultured bacterium
Lineage: Bacteria
Description: partial 16S ribosomal RNA
Rfam family: Bacterial small subunit ribosomal RNA
Source: RNAcentral
UACGUAGGGUGCGAGCGUUAAUCGGAAUUACUGGGCGUAAAGCGUGCGCAGGCGGUUUUGUAAGACAGGUGUGAAAUCCCCGGGCUUAACCUGGGAACUGCGCUUGUGACUGCAAGACUCGAGUGCGGCAGAGGGGGGUGGAAUUCCACGUGUAGCAGUGAAAUGCGUAGAGAUGUGGAGGAACACCGAUGGCGAAGGCAGCCCCCUGGGUCGACACUGACGCUCAUGCACGAAAGCGUGGGGAGCAAACAGG